Molecule: long non-coding RNA, 1735 nt
Filed under: Solanum tuberosum (potato)
Lineage: Eukaryota; Viridiplantae; Streptophyta; Magnoliopsida; Solanales; Solanaceae
Description: long non-coding RNA (STUB_LNC003938)
Source: RNAcentral
UGUAUAUAAGUUAAACUCUUACCAGAAUAGUACUUGACUUUGCAUCCGAAAGAAAGUUCAGAAACGGGAGUGUCCUCUUUACAAUAAUGAAUACAAGUAGCUACAUCACUAUUGUCUUCGAAAACACAUUCGUCAUCUCUCCCACACUCUCUGCAUAAGAAAUCACGCCUCCAAGAGAGCUCAAAUCCGUAACCCAGGGCCUGAUGAAUGCUGGAUAACGAAGACGAUAUGUUAGGUGAAAUCCCCGGAGCUGAUGACCAUGCCACAGUUUCAACUCUGCAACCGCCUGCUAAAUCUGAAUCUUGCAAUAUUUCACCUACGACAAGAUAGCUAAAACUAGAAUUGGUAGCAGUUGUAUUUGUGCUACAAAAACUUGUAGGAAUGUAUAGUGACGAGUUGAUUGGACCACGACAGUUGACAUAGUUGAUAUCGUUGUCAACACUAAGCCAUCCGAAGAUUAGGCUAGUCAUGGCAUCGUAACUUGCCCUGUGUUCUGGAAAAACAGAGCAAUUAUCGCUCUGAUUUUUAAGGCUGGGAUCGAGUAGCCUAAUUGAGAAGUUCGUAUAGUUAAUUUCCUGGACGUAGAAUUUUCGCGACUUGUAAUGGAAAAUGGUUUCAUUGUUCUGGCAAUCGAGUUCAUAUCCGGUCUUACCACAAUACUCGGGAUCAGACCUCAAUCCGAAGGGGAAUUUUAUAUCGCGAAUAUCGCCACAGGAAGAAGGGACACAUUGAGAGGUAUUCUGGGCUAUAGAGCUUGUUAUGAAUGUAACAAAUAGAAAAACAGUAGCAAAAAAUGAAUUUGUUAUGGACAUUUUGUCAAUUGAAUAUACCGAGGAAAAUAGAAAGACACUAAUGAUAAUUCUUUUUUUCUUGAUGUGUGGUUUAUAUAAGGAAUAAAAAUGACUUUUCUUGCAGCGUGUGCAAUUAAAAGUUAGGACUAUUGAUUUGUUAAAAUGAAGUUGAAUAUGUUAACAAAUGUUUUGCCCAGUCUUAUUCACACACGUUGCUUUCAGUAGCAUGACAGAGUGGGAUUAUGACAUUUUCAAGAUAAAUUGGGUGGGGGAAAUGAUAUUUUAGUUGCCAUUUAUUGAAAGUCAAAAAUAUUUAUUGAAAGAUUCAAGAGAGAAUGACUAAAAUGGUCCUUUAAAUCAGAAGGUUUUAUAAUAGUUCUUUUAAGUGCGCACUAAGCAAUUUAGGUCUUUUAAGUUUGUUAACGAGUUACUUUUUAAGCAUGAGUGCACCAAUUGCUAUACCGCCAUACACCAAUACAAAAACUGCCAAAGAAGAACAUAAAAACAAGUUAGAAAAUUUUUAUGACAUGAGUAUAACUUAUAAUGUCGAUGUAUAUAAGUUAAACUCUUACCAGAAUAGUACUUGACUUUGCAUCCGAAAGAAAGUUCAGAAACGGGAGUGUCCUCUUUACAAUAAUGAAUACAAGUAGCUACAUCACUAUUGUCUUCGAAAACACAUUCGUCAUCUCUCCCACACUCUCUGCAUAAGAAAUCACGCCUCCAAGAGAGCUCAAAUCCGUAACCCAGGGCCUGAUGAAUGCUGGAUAACGAAGACGAUAUGUUAGGUGAAAUCCCCGGAGCUGAUGACCAUGCCACAGUUUCAACUCUGCAACCGCCUGCUAAAUCUGAAUCUUGCAAUAUUUCACCUACGACAAGAUAGCUAAAACUAGAAUUGGUAGCAGUUGUAUUUGUGCUACAAAAACUUGUAGGAAUGUAUAGUGACG